Non-coding RNA from Gasterosteus aculeatus aculeatus (three-spined stickleback), 634 nucleotides. The record is from RefSeq and is a predicted model, not a curated record. NCBI's taxonomy places the organism in Eukaryota, Metazoa, Chordata, Actinopteri, Perciformes, Gasterosteidae.
GUAAUGUAAUAAGAAUAAGAAUUGUCUGCCUUAACAUCGUAACAAGCAGGCGGUCCCUGCGUGCCUGUCCGGUAACAGACAUCAGCUUUCACACGCACCUUACUUUGUGAGACAGACAGGCACCUGACGUCUAUGAACAGCACUGCGUCUCAUAAAUGAUAGAAUAAAACCACCGGCUACUUGUUGAACCUCUGGACCAGAACACACACCAACGGAGACACCACUUCCAAAAUAAGUCAUUUAGACUUUAAACUAAGUACGUUUAACGUCCUUUAAGCCUUUAGCCACAGGUUGGAGCGGCUUCCCAUUCACACUGCCGCACCCAAGAUGAAAACAAAAGCGCGCCUGCUCAUUUUAUUUCUGAGUGUUUCUGGCGCCUGUGUUUUUUGGAGAGAAGUGUCACGAUACGUUCUGCCUCAGGAACAAAGAUCCUGUGCUUGUGACCGAUGUCUAUUUGAAAAUGAUACGUUGGCCAUUGAGCGUUUGCGGAAGUUUCCUCAACCAUUUUUAUCCAGCAACUACAGUCUGCCAGAAGAGGAUUUCAAAUGGUGGAGGGUCAUACAGCGUGGAGGCGGUACAAUCAGUGAAUACAGAAGAAACAUGUCCAGGGUUUUUCAGUUGAUCCCAGACAACC